AAACGUAGGAGGCGAGCGUUAUCCGGAUUUACUGGGCGUAAAGUGCAUGUAGGCGGCCUGGUAAGUCGGGCGUGAAAUCUCCCGGCUCAACUGGGAGGGGUCGUCCGAUACUGCCAGGCUUGAGGGCAGGAGAGGGAAGUGGAAUUCCCGGUGUAGUGGUGGAAUACGUAGAUAUCGGGAGGAACACCAGUGGCGAAGGCGGCUUCCUGGCCUGCCCCUGACGCUGAGAUGCGAAAGCGUGGGGAGCGAACGGGAUUAGAAACCCUAGUAGUCC
RNAcentral lists this ribosomal RNA (274 nucleotides) under uncultured bacterium. RNAcentral's name for it is "partial 16S ribosomal RNA". It matches the Rfam family "Bacterial small subunit ribosomal RNA", at positions 523 to 796 of the family's 1533-position model. The record is from RNAcentral.